UACAGAGGUCCCAAGCGUUGUUCGGAUUCACUGGGCGUAAAGGGUGCGUAGGUGGCCAGGAAAGUCUGAUGUGAAAUCUCCGAGCUCAACUCGGAAAUGGCAUUGGAAACUAUUUGGCUAGAGGGUCGGAGGGGGGACUGGAAUUCUCGGUGUAGCAGUGAAAUGCGUAGAUAUCGAGAGGAACACCAGUGGCGAAGGCGAGUCCCUGGACGACUCCUGACACUGAGGCACGAAAGCUAGGGGAGCAAACAGG
Molecule: ribosomal RNA, 253 nt
Filed under: uncultured bacterium
Lineage: Bacteria
Description: partial 16S ribosomal RNA
Rfam family: Bacterial small subunit ribosomal RNA
Source: RNAcentral